UGCAAGUCGAACGCUUUUUCUUUCACCGGAGCUUGCUCCACCGAAAGAAAAAGAGUGGCGAACGGGUGAGUAACACGUGGGUAACCUGCCCAUCAGAAGGGGAUAACACUUGGAAACAGGUGCUAAUACCGUAUAACACUAUUUUCCGCAUGGAAGAAAGUUGAAAGGCGCUUUUGCGUCACUGAUGGAUGGACCCGCGGUGCAUUAGCUAGUUGGUGAGGUAACGGCUCACCAAGGCAACGAUGCAUAGCCGACCUGAGAGGGUGAUCGGCCACACUGGGACUGAGACACGGCCCAGACUCCUACGGGAGGCAGCAGGAGGGAAUCUUCGGCAAUGGACGAAAGUCUGACCGAGCAACGCCGCGUGAGUGAAGAAGGUUUUCGGAUCGUAAAACUCUGUUGUUAGAGAAGAACAAGGAUGAGAGUAAAAUGUUCAUCCCUUGACGGUAUCUAACCAGAAAGCCACGGCUAACUACGUGCCAGCAGCCGCGGUAAUACGUAGGUGGCAAGCGUUGUCCGGAUUUAUUGGGCGUAAAGCGAGCGCAGGGGGUUUCUUAAGUCUUAAGUGGAAGCCCC
Molecule: ribosomal RNA, 576 nt
Filed under: Enterococcus casseliflavus
Lineage: Bacteria; Bacillati; Bacillota; Bacilli; Lactobacillales; Enterococcaceae
Description: bacterial SSU rRNA
Rfam family: Bacterial small subunit ribosomal RNA
Source: RNAcentral